RNAcentral lists this ribosomal RNA (554 nucleotides) under uncultured bacterium. RNAcentral describes it as "partial 16S ribosomal RNA". It matches the Rfam family "Bacterial small subunit ribosomal RNA", at positions 355 to 900 of the family's 1533-position model. The record is from RNAcentral.
UGGGGAAUAUUGGACAAUGGGCGAAAGCCUGAUCCAGCCAUGCCGCGUGUGUGAAGAAGGUCUUCGGAUUGUAAAGCACUUUAAGUUGGGAGGAAGGGCAGUAAAUUAAUACUUUGCUGUUUUGACGUUACCGACAGAAUAAGCACCGGCUAACUCUGUGCCAGCAGCCGCGGUAAUACAGAGGGUGCAAGCGUUAAUCGGAAUUACUGGGCGUAAAGCGCGCGUAGGUGGUUCGUUAAGUUGGAUGUGAAAUCCCCGGGCUCAACCUGGGAACUGCAUUCAAAACUGACGAGCUAGAGUAUGGUAGAGGGUGGUGGAAUUUCCUGUGUAGCGGUGAAAUGCGUAGAUAUAGGAAGGAACACCAGUGGCGAAGGCGACCACCUGGACUGAUACUGACACUGAGGUGCGAAAGCGUGGGGAGCAAAACAGGAUUAGAUACCCUGGUAGUCCACGCCGUAAACGAUGUCAACUAGCCGUUGGGAGCCUUGAGCUCUUAGUGGCGCAGCUAACGCAUUAAGUUGACCGCCUGGGGAGUACGGCCGCAAGGUUAAAAG